This 79-nucleotide non-coding RNA is filed under the name uncultured Phocaeicola sp. The record is from RNAcentral. Lineage: Bacteria; Pseudomonadati; Bacteroidota; Bacteroidia; Bacteroidales; Bacteroidaceae.
GAAAUGUAUGGAGUAAAGCUUGCCGUGAGAAGUCAGCAGAUGUCAUAGUAGCAAACGUGUCGAUAAGUUUGUGAAGGAC